RNAcentral lists this signal recognition particle RNA (298 nucleotides) under Sphenodon punctatus (tuatara). Its description in RNAcentral is "Metazoan signal recognition particle RNA (ENSSPUG00000008797.1)". It matches the Rfam family "Metazoan signal recognition particle RNA". Rfam says of the family: The signal recognition particle (SRP) is a universally conserved ribonucleoprotein. It is involved in the co-translational targeting of proteins to membranes. The eukaryotic SRP consists of a 300-nucleotide 7S RNA and six proteins: SRPs 72, 68, 54, 19, 14, and 9. Lineage: Eukaryota; Metazoa; Chordata; Lepidosauria; Sphenodontia; Sphenodontidae. The record is from RNAcentral.
GCUGGGCAUGGUGGCUUGUGCCUGCAUCCCAGCUCUGUGGGCGGCUGAGGCUGUAGGAUUGCUUAAGCUCAGGAGUUCUGGGCUGCAGUUGGCCAUGCUGAUCAGGUGUCCACACUACGGUCAGCAUCAAUAUGGUGACUUGUGGGAAGCUGUAGGUUACCAGGUUGUCUAAGAAGGGGUGAACCGGCCCAGGUCAAGAAUGGAGCAGGCCAAAGCUCCUAUGCUGAGGAGUAGUGGGAUUGCACCUGUGGUUAGUCCCUGCAGCACAGCCUGGGCAAGAGAGUAAAACACUGUCUCU